RNAcentral lists this ribosomal RNA (482 nucleotides) under uncultured bacterium. RNAcentral's name for it is "partial 16S ribosomal RNA". It matches the Rfam family "Bacterial small subunit ribosomal RNA", at positions 28 to 507 of the family's 1533-position model. The record is from RNAcentral.
GAUGAACGCUAGCGGCAGGCCUAAUACAUGCAAGUCGGACGGGAUUCAGGAGCUUGCUUCUGAUGAGAGUGGCGCACGGGUGCGUAACACGUAUGUAACCUACCUUUAUCAGGGGGAUAGCCUCUCGAAAGAGAGAUUAAGCCCGCAUAAAAUCACAGCACAGCAUUGUGUAAUGAUCAAAUAUUUAUAGGAUAAAGAUGGGCAUGCGGAACAUUAGCUAGAUGGCGGGGUAACGGCCCACCAUGGCGACGAUGUUUAGGGGAUCUGAGAGGAUGGCCCCCCACACUGGUACUGAGACACGGACCAGACUCCUACGGGAGGCAGCAGUAAGGAAUAUUGGUCAAUGGGCGGAAGCCUGAACCAGCCAUGCCGCGUGCAGGAAGACGGCCCUACGGGUUGUAAACUGCUUUUAGACGGGAAUAAACCCAGAUACGUGUAUCUGGCUGAAUGUACUGUAAGAAUAAGGAUCGGCUAACCCCGUG